Molecule: long non-coding RNA, 1167 nt
Filed under: Gadus morhua (Atlantic cod)
Lineage: Eukaryota; Metazoa; Chordata; Actinopteri; Gadiformes; Gadidae
Description: lncRNA (ENSGMOG00000033612.1)
Source: RNAcentral
CGAAAUGAUCACAAAAUAGACUUGAAGUUAAAGCGUUGUCCUUGCACGGUUUGACCACAUACAACAGCCCCUCGCUCUAUCACCUCCAUACAAACAGUAUACAAGGACACUCACUCCACUCUGCUGCAAGGACACACCACAGAGCCAUCGAGACACAAGGACGUUACCUAGGCUGAUGACUCUUCAGUAUCAGCAAGCAACAGCUAAAUAAGGACUGGCAUGGCACCGUAAUCCAGCUGAAGUUCGGUGCCUCAGUGAAGAUGGCAUAUUGAAAGUGUUAUCCCUAUUGGUGUUAUAUCCCUAUUUGGUCGUUUUUUAAACCCCAACCCCCCUUCUCUCUCUCUGUCUGCAACCCUUAAUGGCUCCUCACCUGCGCAGGUAUGAGAUCAGGGGACUUACACCUGGUGGAGGAGAAUGUUCUGGAGUCCCUGAAGCUCAAAGCGGACCUUCCACAACUUCAAGCCGCGGCCCUUCAACAUGCGGGAGUUCUACGACCGUACGGGCCACGACAUCAGCGACAUGCUGCUCUCCUGCCACUUUCAGGGGCUUGGAGUGCCGAGCGGAAGACUUCAAAGGUCCGACUGCGCCGUUGAGAGCAAAAGCAAUCUUCUCUUUUGAAUGAAACUGUUAACAGCCCCAUACUGCCACAGUCUUAACUGAUGAUCGCUGAGACGUACGCUAGAUCAGCUCUGAGGAUUGAUAAGGACGAGAAGGCUAGUUUCAGUUCAAAAUACUUAAGUAGUGUGUGUGUGUGUGUGUGUGUGUGUGUGUGUGUGUGUGUGUGUGUGUGUGUGUGUGGUGUGUGUGUGUGUGUGUGUGUGUGUGUGUGCGCGUGCGUGCGUGCGUGCGUGCGUGCGUGCGUGUGUGUGUGUGUGUGUGUGUAUGUGAGCGUGAGCAUGGGUGUGAGCGUUUGUGUUUGAGCGUGUGUGUGUAAGCAUGUCUGUGUGUGUGUGAGUGUGUGCGUCUCCCUCUGUGUGUCAGUGAGUGUCCUGAACCUUACAUCACUACUAGUUAAGUCAGUCAUGUGUGUCUCCCACUCGGUCUACCACUUGCCGCUGGGCAGGAAGUGAAGAUGCCCUUGUCUACGAAGACCCAACGCGGUGCUUCUCAAAUUGUAUUGAGUCCGAGCACAGUGGCGGGGGUGAUUACCCUGGAGAGAUCUAAGGC